AGCGAACGCUGGCGGCAGGCCUAACACAUGCAAGUCGAGCGAACCUUUCGGGGUUAGUGGCGGACGGGUGAGUAACACGUGGGAACGUGCCUUUAGGUUCGGAAUAACUCAGGGAAACUUGUGCUAAUACCGAAUGGGCCCUUCGGGGGAAAGAUUUAUCGCCUUUAGAGCGGCCCGCGUCUGAUUAGCUAGUUGGUUGGGGUAAUGGCUCACCAAGGCGACGAUCAGUAGCUGGUCUGAGAGGAGGAUCAGCCACAUUGGGACUGCGACACGGCCCAAACUCCUACGGGAGGCAGCAGUGGGGAAUCUUGCGCAAUGGGCGAAAGCCUGACGCAGCCAUGCCGCGUGAAUGAUGAAGGUCUUAGGAUUGUAAAAUUCUUUCACCGGGGACGAUAAUGACGGUACCCGGAGAAGAAGCCCCGGCUAACUUCGUG
This 434-nucleotide ribosomal RNA is filed under the name uncultured bacterium. RNAcentral's name for it is "partial 16S ribosomal RNA". It matches the Rfam family "Bacterial small subunit ribosomal RNA", at positions 29 to 507 of the family's 1533-position model. The record is from RNAcentral.